RNAcentral lists this unclassified non-coding RNA (395 nucleotides) under soil metagenome. Its description in RNAcentral is "partial contains 5.8S ribosomal RNA, internal transcribed spacer 2, and large subunit ribosomal RNA". The stretch from base 1 to 122 matches the Rfam family "5.8S ribosomal RNA", at positions 35 to 154 of the family's 154-position model. The record is from RNAcentral.
GAUGAAGAACGUAGCGAAAUGCGAUACUUGGUGUGAAUUGCAGAAUCCCGUGAACCAUCGAGUCUUUGAACGCAAGUUGCGCCCGAAGCCAUCAGGUUGAGGGCACGUCUGCCUGGGCGUCACAUAUCGUUGCCCAAUGCCUAUUGCAGUGCAAUAGGAAUUUCUAGGGCGAAUGAUGGCUUCCCGUGAGCGUUGUUGCCUCGCGGUUGGUUGAAAAUCGAGUCCUUGGUAGGGUGUGCCAUGGUAGAUGGUGGUCGAGUUAGAACGAUACCGAUCAUGUGCAUGCUCCCCAAAAUAUGGCCUCUAUGACCCACACGCGUAUUUUGACGCUCAUGACGAGACCUCAGGUCAGGCGGGGCUACCCGCUGAAUUUAAGCAUAUCAAUAAGCGGAGGA